RNAcentral lists this ribosomal RNA (253 nucleotides) under uncultured bacterium. RNAcentral's name for it is "partial 16S ribosomal RNA". It matches the Rfam family "Bacterial small subunit ribosomal RNA", at positions 524 to 776 of the family's 1533-position model. The record is from RNAcentral.
UACGGGGGGGGCAAGCGUUGUUCGGAAUUACUGGGCGUAAAGGGCUCGUAGGUGGCCAACUAAGUCAGACGUGAAAUCCCUCGGCUUAACCGGGGAACGGCGUCCGAUACUGGAUGGCUUGAGUUCGGGAGAGGGAUGCGGAACUCCAGGUGUAGCGGUGAAAUGCGUAGAUAUCUGGAGGAACACCGGUGGCGAAGGCGGCAUCCUGGACCGAGACUGACACUGAGGAGCGAAAGCCAGGGGAGCAAACGGG